This 644-nucleotide ribosomal RNA is filed under the name Lactarius badiosanguineus. RNAcentral's name for it is "LSU rRNA". It matches the Rfam family "Eukaryotic large subunit ribosomal RNA", at positions 43 to 662 of the family's 3401-position model. Lineage: Eukaryota; Fungi; Basidiomycota; Agaricomycetes; Russulales; Russulaceae. The record is from RNAcentral.
UCAAUAAGCGGAGGAAAAGAAACUAACAAGGAUUCCCCUAGUAACUGCGAGUGAAGCGGGAAAAGCUCAAAUUUAAAAUCUGGUGGCCUUUGGCCGUCCGAGUUGUAAUUUAGAGAAGCGUCUUCCGCGCUGGACCGUGCACAAGUCUCCUGGAAUGGAGCGUCAUAGAGGGUGAGAAUCCCGUCUUUGGCACGGAUGCCUGGUGCUUUUGUGAUGCGCUCUCGAAGAGUCGAGUUGUUUGGGAAUGCAGCUCAAAAUGGGUGGUGAACUCCAUCUAAAGCUAAAUAUUGGCGAGAGACCGAUAGCGAACAAGUACCGUGAGGGAAAGAUGAAAAGCACUUUGGAAAGAGAGUGAAACAGUACGUGAAAUUGUUGAAAGGGAAACGCUUGAAGUCAGUCGCGUCGACCGAGACUCAGCCUUGCCUUGGCUUGGUGUACUUCUCGGCCCGACGGGUCAGCAUCAAUUUUACCCCUCGGAUAAUGGCAGGGGAAAGGUGGCACCUUUACGGGUGUGUUAUAGUCUCUUGUCGCAUGUGAGGGGUGGGAUUGAGGAACUCAGCGCGCACCUCAGUGUCGGGGCUUCGGCCCACGUCACGCGCUUAGGAUGCUGGCGUAAUGGCUUUAAACGACCCGUCUUGAAACAC